Molecule: ribosomal RNA, 434 nt
Filed under: uncultured Clostridium sp.
Lineage: Bacteria; Bacillati; Bacillota; Clostridia; Eubacteriales; Clostridiaceae
Description: partial 16S ribosomal RNA
Rfam family: Bacterial small subunit ribosomal RNA
Source: RNAcentral
ACGGGAGGCAGCAGUGGGGAAUAUUGCACAAUGGGGGAAACCCUGAUGCAGCGACGCCGCGUGAGUGAAGAAGUUAUUCGUAAUGUAAAGCUCUAUCAGCAGGGAAGAAAAUGACGGUACCUGACUAAGAAGCCCCGGCUAACUACGUGCCAGCAGCCGCGGUAAUACGUAGGGGGCAAGCGUUAUCCGGAUUUACUGGGUGUAAAGGGAGCGUAGACGGCGAUGCAAGUCUGAAGUGAAAGGCGGGGGCUCAACCCUUGGACUGCUUUGGAAACUGUAUUGCUAGAGUGCAGGAGAGGUAAGUGGAAUUCCUAGUGUAGCGGUGAAAUGCUUAGAUAUUAGGAGGAACACCAGUGGCGAAGGCGGCUUACUGGACUGUAACUGACGUUGAGGCUCGAAAGCGUGGGGAGCAAACAGGAUUAGAUACCCUGGUA